CCUAAUGAUGACAAGCUGUCGCCCCAAGCGGAUUUCGAAAGCAUGAACGAGUCGACUAAAUUAGCCAAACACUGAAAAUUCUGAUC
RNAcentral lists this small nucleolar RNA (86 nucleotides) under Lachancea kluyveri NRRL Y-12651. The record is from RNAcentral. Lineage: Eukaryota; Fungi; Ascomycota; Saccharomycetes; Saccharomycetales; Saccharomycetaceae.